AGAACGAACGCUGGCGGCAUGCCUAAUACAUGCAAGUCGAACGAGACCUUCGGGUCUAGUGGCGCACGGGUGCGUAACGCGUGGGAAUCUACCCUUGGGUUCGGAAUAACAGUUGGAAACGACUGCUAAUACCGGAUGAUGACGAAAGUCCAAAGAUUUAUCGCCCAGGGAUGAGCCCGCGUAGGAUUAGCUAGUUGGUGAGGUAAAGGCUCACCAAGGCUACGAUCCUUAGCUGGUCUGAGAGGAUGAUCAGCCACACUGGGACUGAG
This 269-nucleotide ribosomal RNA is filed under the name uncultured soil bacterium. RNAcentral describes it as "partial 16S ribosomal RNA". It matches the Rfam family "Bacterial small subunit ribosomal RNA", at positions 26 to 323 of the family's 1533-position model. The record is from RNAcentral.